This 586-nucleotide ribosomal RNA is filed under the name uncultured bacterium. RNAcentral's name for it is "bacterial SSU rRNA". It matches the Rfam family "Bacterial small subunit ribosomal RNA", at positions 338 to 916 of the family's 1533-position model. The record is from RNAcentral.
CCUACGGGAGGCAGCAGUGGGGAAUUUUGGACAAUGGGCGCAAGCCUGAUCCAGCAAUGCCGCGUGAGUGAAGAAGGCCUUCGGGUUGUAAAGCUCUUUUGUCAGGGAAGAAACGGUGGGGGCUAAUAUCUCCUGCUAAUGACGGUACCUGAAGAAUAAGCACCGGCUAACUACGUGCCAGCAGCCGCGGUAAUACGUAGGGUGCAAGCGUUAAUCGGAAUUACUGGGCGUAAAGCGUGCGCAGGCGGUUUUGUAAGUUUGUCGUGAAAUCCCCGGGCUCAACCUGGGAAUGGCGAUGAAGACUGCAAGGCUAGAAUCUGGCAGAGGGGGGUAGAAUUCCACGUGUAGCAGUGAAAUGCGUAGAGAUGUGGAGGAACACCGAUGGCGAAGGCAGCCCCCUGGGUCAAGAUUGACGCUCAUGCACGAAAGCGUGGGGAGCAAACAGGAUUAGAUACCCUGGUAGUCCACGCCCUAAACGAUGUCUACUAGUUGUCGGGUUUUAAUUAACUUGGUAACGCAGCUAACGCGUGAAGUAGACCGCCUGGGGAGUACGGUCGCAAGAUUAAAACUCAAAUGAAAUUGACGG